UCUGGAGUUUGGCCGGCUGCAGGGAAACUGUGGGCUGCAGAAGAUCAGGAUCAAAGCUGCUGGAAAAACCAUCGAGACAGAGAAGAGGAGCGAGGGGGCGGCGAUCACAUUAAUACUGCUCUUUACUGCUGUGAACUGUUCAAAUUAAGAGCUCAGGUUUCAUGGCAGCAGCUCACUGAGAGGCUCCUCUUCAACCCCAGAAGAUUCAACGUUCCAUCAGUCCCACUUUAACCCUGGUGUCGUCCUGCAGGUUUCCCAGAGACUAUGGGUUGAGGAGGAAGUGGAAGUUUGUCGGCUUAGACCUGGUGUCAUUCCAUCAGUGUUAAACUUCCCGGCUCAUCUUGGAAGAGUACGUGCCAGAAAGACCACAACCAAGCAGCCUUGAGAUCUUAGGCAGCGUCUCCCUGAGGUCCCUCUCUAUCUCCCCACACAUCCACCAACCACUGGAACACAUCUCCAAAGUUCUGCUGGACCAGCUCAGCUUCCCCUCAGAAGAAGUGCCGCCACCUGCCAGAUGAAGGAGCCUUUUGAGAGGCAGCUGGCAUCGUGAUUGGACUGUACUUUGGUCUGUUCCAAUCCAGCUUCAGCUCCAGAGACGGCAGGCGGGACGAGUCAACGGAGGCCUGGUGGACGAAGGCAUGCAGCUGAGUACAAUCCAGAAAACAACAGAGGAGGAAUGCAGCAGCCCAGAGCCAGAACAACCAGAGUAGCAUGACCAAAGAACUACAGACUCUUCACAACCUGCUCAAACUCUUGGUACAGGACCUCACCACACGGGUCAAGAAGGUUUCCAUCUCAUUUCUACUCUGAAGCUCACCUUCUCCUGCUCAAACUGCUGACAAAUGUUUCUGCUGCUCUAAAGUCUGGUCUCCAGAACUUCCUAAAAACUCUCAAAGUCUCUUCUGCUGCAGGUUGCUUUGUAGAACUGUUCCAGAAAACCUCACUAAACCACAUGGAGGGGCCUCAAGAUAGUCGUCCAAAUGAAACCAUACAAAAACCAAACUAGCACAACCCAAACGCUAAAGUCUCCUGCAGCCUACCAGAGAACCUCUGAGAACAGAGAAUCAGGACAGGAACUCUUACCUUCUGGACAACCAACGUUGGUUCUCAAACAAGAAUACAGAAUGUGUCUGACCAAAAACCUCUGAAGACUCACUACAGCCAAGAUAAAGACACAACUCAGCUGCACCAAAUCCACUAAUCACCGCACACAUUAGCACCAUGUGCUAACUGUGGCUAAACAACCACAUUUACCAAGACAACUAUCCAGUACAAAGCCCUAAAACACACCAAGAAACACAUUAAAGACGAUUUUACUGCUGGAAGCUGCAAGCCAACGCCUAAAGAACAAACUAAAGCAAUGGAGCCAAACCAGGUCCAGUGGUGAAGAGAAGCAGAGGAAAUGUUUGUCUGCAGCUAAAUAAAGCAGGAAGACACUGAGCUGCUCAGGUGUUCCUGAUAACACCAAGCAGCCACCUGGACAGCCAAUAGGAACACAGCUUCCUGGAAGUCCAGAGGGCGGGGUUAGUCAAGGAAAUUUAGUUUAAAGUUGAAGCAGAAAGUUAACAAAGAAAGUUGAAAACCACCUUCUGAUCCCUGAAAUCUCUGAGUUUUCACACAAAGAACACCUGAACAUGUCAAACUGGUUCCAUAGUAGAACCAUCAUUGUAAAAACGUCAUAGUAUGGUGUGUUGCUCAAAAAACAUUAGGACCCGGCUGUCAGGGGACAAACAUGUAAGAAACAUGAGAACAGAGAGAACCCAACCAGUAGGUCACAGUUUAUCAUCAUCUAAUCAUCUCCUGAAGUCCAUAUGGUGAGAGACAUCAGUAUCUGGUUGUUCAUUUACUAGAGGAUGCUUAUAAUCAUGCUGAUGUGGUCUGUACUCUACAGUAUUUUAGUGACUCAAUAAAUGCCUAAGUUGUUUUUUUUUUAAAUGUUUUUUAGUUUUUAAUAAACAUUUAACAGCCUGUAUGUAAUCAAUAAAUGGCCUUUGCCUAUCUUAAGAAAAAUUCACUCAGAACUCUAAUAUGUUAACAGUACUAAAUAAAUCAAUAAAUACAUGCAUACACACAAAAAUAAGUUAAUACAUUAACUGUGUUAAGAUAAGAUUUAGAUAUAAAAAAAGUUGUUUAUGUUUUUGCAGAAUCCAGUAUUGCUCACUGGUUAGUCAUUACAUUUUAUUAGUUUGAUUUCACUGUUUAAAAUGAUGCCACCUCUUUUCAGGCAGAACCUGUGAUAAUAAAACAAUACAAAAUUUUUAGUUCCGUGUUAAUAAAGCACUUAAAGCUUUAAGUAUGGCUAAAUGCUUUUUUCAAAAUUAAAUAUAUCACUCCUUAGGUGGUAGUGGCCCCAAGUUCAGUAAAGUUGGAAAGAUAUUCACAGAUUGGGACUUCCAGCAUCAAUAACUCAUUAGAUAUAGGUUGUCAAAACAUAAACGGUGCCUCUUUCCCAUUGUUGCAAGGCAGACAAUGUGCUACAAGCCCAGUUUUAUCAAAAGUAGCUGUCUUUCAAGCUACAGGAAUAACAUUGGUGUCUAUGGAGUGAACAGGGUCCGUCUGCAAUUUGCAAAACCUCUGCAACAGUAAAGAGAGACAAAUAUUCAAUAACUUCACUCUUAUACAUUGUAGUGUCACUAAAAUCACUGCAGCCUUCAACUGGCUCCUGUUGACAAAGUGUUUUAACAGAAAUGUAAAUGCUGUAAUUUGAUUCUUUUAAUGAACCAUGUAACUUGAAUGGAUGUGAUGCUGGUGUGACCACAGUGCACACGUCUGAUGUUGCUCACAGUGGUCCAAGGGACGCUCAGGGAGUUUGUGUGUUUGCUCAGACUCAGGAAAAAUUACAGGGAACAUUGCUCCUGGGUACUUUGUUAGUUAAACAGAAUUAAUUAGAACAUGUCAAACUCAAAAGGACACAAAAGCAGUCUAGUAUUUGGACAUUUAAUCUAAUAUUUGGUCCUCCUGUAUUGUAACACUGAGAGGUGUUUUUUUUAAAUUUAGUUUUCAGUGUUUCUGAAAUUGAGGCAUGAAAACAUUUUGCUGGAAUUUUGGAAUCUCUGCAGCUUUUUCUCUCCUGUUAGAGACUUUAGUGUUUAAUAUUGUUCUGACUGGCAUUUCUCACUUGUUUUAAUCUUUUUUUUACCCUCCUGUGUGUCUGCGCUGUAAAACUCUUUCAAACUUUCAAACAUUAAAGGCUCCAUAAAAAG
Long non-coding RNA from Amphiprion ocellaris (clown anemonefish), 3203 nucleotides. RefSeq lists it as uncharacterized. Lineage: Eukaryota; Metazoa; Chordata; Actinopteri; Pomacentridae. The transcript has 4 exons. The record is from RefSeq and is a predicted model, not a curated record.